This 37-nucleotide transfer RNA is filed under the name Silene saxifraga. Its description in RNAcentral is "partial tRNA-Lys". Lineage: Eukaryota; Viridiplantae; Streptophyta; Magnoliopsida; Caryophyllales; Caryophyllaceae. The record is from RNAcentral.
GGGUUGCUAACUCAACGGUAGAGUCCUCGGCUUUUAA